GGGUUGUGAGGUUAAGCGACUAAGCGUACACGGUGGAUGCCCUGGCAGUCAGAGGCGAUGAAGGACGUGCUAAUCUGCGAUAAGCGCCGGUAAGGUGAUAUGAACCGUUAUAACCGGCGAUUUCCGAAUGGGGAAACCCAGUGUGACUCGUCACACUAUCAUUAACUGAAUCCAUAGGUUAAUGAGGCGAACCGGGGGAACUGAAACAUCUAAGUACCCCGAGGAAAAGAAAUCAACCGAGAUUCCCCCAGUAGCGGCGAGCGAACGGGGAGGAGCCCAGAGCCUGAAUCAGCAUGUGUGUUAGUGGAAGCGUCUGGAAAGGCGCGCGAUACAGGGUGACAGCCCCGUACACAAAAGCGCAUGUGCUGUGAGCUCGAUGAGUAGGGCGGGACACGUGGUAUCCUGUCUGAAUAUGGGGGGACCAUCCUCCAAGGCUAAAUACUCCUGACUGACCGAUAGUGAACCAGUACCGUGAGGGAAAGGCGAAAAGAACCCCGGCGAGGGGAGUGAAAAAGAACCUGAAACCGUGUACGUACAAGCAGUGGGAGCACCCUUUGGGGUGUGACUGCGUACCUUUUGUAUAAUGGGUCAGCGACUUAUAUUCUGUAGCAAGGUUAACCGAAUAGGGGAGCCGGAGGGAAACCGAGUCUUAAUUGGGCGUUAAGUUGCAGGGUAUAGACCCGAAACCCGGUGAUCUAGCCAUGGGCAGGUUGAAGGUUGGGUAACACUAACUGGAGGACCGAACCGACUAAUGUUGAAAAAUUAGCGGAUGACCUGUGGCUGGGGGUGAAAGGCCAAUCAAACCGGGAGAUAGCUGGUUCUCCCCGAAAGCUAUUUAGGUAGCGCCUCGUGAAUUCAUCUCCGGGGGUAGAGCACUGUUUCGGCUAGGGGGCCAUCCCGGCUUACCAACCCGAUGCAAACUGCGAAUACCGGAGAAUGUUAUCACGGGAGACACACGGCGGGUGCUAACGUCCGUCGUGAAGAGGGAAACAACCCAGACCGCCAGCUAAGGUCCCAAAGUCAUGGUUAAGUGGGAAACGAUGUGGGAAGGCCCAGACAGCCAGGAUGUUGGCUUAGAAGCAGCCAUCAUUUAAAGAAAGCGUAAUAGCUCACUGGUCGAGUCGGCCUGCGCGGAAGAUGUAACGGGGCUAAACCAUGCACCGAAGCUGCGGCAGCGACGCUGAUGCGUUGUUGGGUAGGGGAGCGUUCUGUAAGCCUGUGAAGGUGGCCUGUGAGGGUUGCUGGAGGUAUCAGAAGUGCGAAUGCUGACAUAAGUAACGAUAAAGCGGGUGAAAAGCCCGCUCGCCGGAAGACCAAGGGUUCCUGUCCAACGUUAAUCGGGGCAGGGUGAGUCGACCCCUAAGGCGAGGCCGAAAGGCGUAGUCGAUGGGAAACGGGUUAAUAUUCCCGUACUUGGUGUUACUGCGAAGGGGGGACGGAGAAGGCUAUGUUGGCCGGGCGACGGUUGUCCCGGUUUAAGCGUGUAGGUGUGUGUUCCAGGUAAAUCCGGUUCACUUUAACACUGAGGCGUGAUGACGAGGCACUACGGUGCUGAAGCAACAAAUGCCCUGCUUCCAGGAAAAGCCUCUAAGCAUCAGGUAACAUCAAAUCGUACCCCAAACCGACACAGGUGGUCAGGUAGAGAAUACCAAGGCGCUUGAGAGAACUCGGGUGAAGGAACUAGGCAAAAUGGUGCCGUAACU
RNAcentral lists this ribosomal RNA (1703 nucleotides) under Salmonella enterica. RNAcentral's name for it is "partial 23S ribosomal RNA". It matches the Rfam family "Bacterial large subunit ribosomal RNA", at positions 1 to 1735 of the family's 2925-position model. The record is from RNAcentral. Lineage: Bacteria; Pseudomonadati; Pseudomonadota; Gammaproteobacteria; Enterobacterales; Enterobacteriaceae. RNAcentral also lists the same sequence under 2 other names.